ACGGAGGCGGUAGCCGCCGUCGUCGGAGAGCGGGGACGUGGGGCGCGCUAUCGGGCGGGGGCGAGGUUCGGGCCGGUUGUGCCGUUGCGAGACUGCAGCUGUAGUCGCUUCGGCCGGUCAAGGUGAAUGAACGCAGCUGGUGGGAGGUGUAAACUCUUCCAAGAUGUCAAAAACAAACAAAUCCAAGUCUGGGUCUCGCUCUUCUCGCUCAAGAUCUGCAUCUAGAUCUCGGUCUCGAUCGUUUUCAAAGUCUCGGUCCCGAAGCCGAUCUGUCUCUCGUUCAAGGAAGCGCAGGCUGAGUUCUAGGUCUCGUUCCAGAUCAUAUUCUCCAGCUCAUAACAGAGAAAGGAAUCACCCUAGAGUGUA
Long non-coding RNA from Mastomys coucha (southern multimammate mouse), 366 nucleotides. RefSeq lists it as uncharacterized. The record is from RefSeq and is a predicted model, not a curated record. The transcript has 3 exons. Lineage: Eukaryota; Metazoa; Chordata; Mammalia; Rodentia; Muridae.